RNAcentral lists this ribosomal RNA (492 nucleotides) under uncultured bacterium. RNAcentral describes it as "partial 16S ribosomal RNA". It matches the Rfam family "Bacterial small subunit ribosomal RNA", at positions 29 to 507 of the family's 1533-position model. The record is from RNAcentral.
AGUGAACGCUGGCGGUAGGCCUAACACAUGCAAGUCGAACGGCAGCACAGUAAGAGCUUGCUCUUACGGGUGGCGAGUGGCGGACGGGUGAGGAAUACAUCGGAAUCUACUUUUUCGUGGGGGAUAACGUAGGGAAACUUACGCUAAUACCGCAUACGACCUACGGGUGAAAGCAGGGGAUCUUCGGACCUUGCGCGAUUGAAUGAGCCGCUGUCGGAUUAGCUAGUUGGCGGGGUAAAGGCCCACCAAGGCGACGAUCCGUAGCUGGUCUGAGAGGAUGAUCAGCCACACUGGAACUGAGACACGGUCCAGACUACUACGGGAGGCAGCAGUGGGGAAUAUUGGACAAUGGGCGCAAGCCUGAUCCAGCCAGACCGCGUGGGUGAAGAAGGCCUUCGGGUUGUAAAGCCCUUUUGUUGGGAAAGAAAAGCAGCAGGUUAAUACCCCGCUGUUCUGACGGUACCCAAAGAAUAAGCACCGGCUAACUUCGUG